GAGAGCAUAACUCAGUGGUAGAGUGCAUGCCUAACGUGCACAAGGUCCUGGGUUCAAUCCCCAGUACCUCCA
This 72-nucleotide transfer RNA is filed under the name Camelus bactrianus (Bactrian camel). It matches the Rfam family "tRNA". Rfam says of the family: Transfer RNA (tRNA) molecules are approximately 80 nucleotides in length. Their secondary structure includes four short double-helical elements and three loops (D, anti-codon, and T loops). Further hydrogen bonds mediate the characteristic L-shaped molecular structure. tRNAs have two regions of fundamental functional importance: the anti-codon, which is responsible for specific mRNA codon recognition, and the 3' end, to which the tRNAs corresponding amino acid is attached (by aminoacyl-tRNA synthetases). tRNAs cope with the degeneracy of the genetic code in two manners: having more than one tRNA (with a specific anti-codon) for a particular amino acid; and 'wobble' base-pairing, i.e. permitting non-standard base-pairing at the 3rd anti-codon position. RNAcentral also lists the same sequence under 2 other names. The record is from Rfam by way of RNAcentral. Lineage: Eukaryota; Metazoa; Chordata; Mammalia; Artiodactyla; Camelidae.